RNAcentral lists this ribosomal RNA (238 nucleotides) under uncultured Eubacteriales bacterium. RNAcentral's name for it is "uncultured Clostridiales bacterium partial 16S ribosomal RNA". It matches the Rfam family "Bacterial small subunit ribosomal RNA", at positions 96 to 334 of the family's 1533-position model. Lineage: Bacteria; Bacillati; Bacillota; Clostridia; Eubacteriales. The record is from RNAcentral.
UGGCGAACGGGUGAGUAACACGUGAGUAACCUGCCUUAGACAUUGGGAUAGCCUCGGGAAACCGGGAUUAAUACCAAAUAAAAUCAUAAUGAUACAUGUCAUAACGAUCAAAACUCCGGUGGUCUAAGAUGGACUCGCGUCCCAUUAGCUAGUUGGUAGAGUAAAAGCCUACCAAGGCGACGAUGGGUAGCCGGCCUGAGAGGGUGAACGGCCACAUUGGAACUGAGAAACGGUCCAG